This 440-nucleotide ribosomal RNA is filed under the name uncultured bacterium. RNAcentral describes it as "partial 16S ribosomal RNA". It matches the Rfam family "Bacterial small subunit ribosomal RNA", at positions 338 to 795 of the family's 1533-position model. The record is from RNAcentral.
CCUACGGGCGGCAGCAGUGGGGAAUAUUGCACAAUGGGGGGAACCCUGAUGCAGCAACGCCGCGUGGGUGAAGAAGUACUUCGGUAUGUAACGCCCUGUCAGCAGGGAAGAAAAUGACGGUACCUUACCAAGAAUCCCCGGCUAAAUACGUGCCAGCAGCCGCGGUAAUACGUAGGGGGCAAGCGUUAUCCGGAUUUACUGGGUGUAAAGGGAGCGUAGACGGCAAGGCAAGUCUGGAGUGAAAGCCCGUGGCUCAACCACGGUACUGCUUUUGAAACUGUGUUGCUGGAGUGCAGGAGGGGUAAGCGGAAUUCCUAGUGUAGCGGUGAAAUGCGUAGAUAUUAGGAGGAACACCGGUGGCGAAGGCGGCUUACUGGACUGUAACUGACGUUGAGGCUCGAAGGCGUGGGGAGCAAACAGGAUUAGAUACCCCAGUAGUC